AAGUCGUAACAAGGUUUCCGUAGGUGAACCUGCGGAAGGAUCAUCAUUGAUUGACCUGGGAUAGAAUAGACCAGGUCUAAAACUAUAUUCAAUGACGUAUAGACCUAGCUUUAAACCGGUGAUGACGACGGUCAUGAAUGGUAGGUUUUUAUGAGCUAAGGUGACCGGAAUGGAAACAUUUCGGUCUGUGAUGGAUUGUGAUUACGGUCACAUGAUGAUAAACAUCACAGCUGGUGUAGGAGAGGGAGGGGGAGAUGGGUUUUUUCUAGGGGUCUUGACGAAGAGUCCGUCCUCUCUCUCUUACACCGACUUGGAGGAGACUUUUAUUAGACGAACAGAACAGGAGUUUCACCCGAUUGUGGUAAUACACACGGGAUAAAAACAGAAAACUUUCGGCAAUGGAUCUCUUGGCUAUCC
This 417-nucleotide unclassified non-coding RNA is filed under the name fungal sp. Its description in RNAcentral is "partial internal transcribed spacer region". The stretch from base 1 to 46 matches the Rfam family "Eukaryotic small subunit ribosomal RNA", at positions 1786 to 1831 of the family's 1831-position model. Lineage: Eukaryota; Fungi. The record is from RNAcentral.